RNAcentral lists this long non-coding RNA (2997 nucleotides) under Equus caballus (horse). Its description in RNAcentral is "lncRNA (ENSECAG00000044701.1)". Lineage: Eukaryota; Metazoa; Chordata; Mammalia; Perissodactyla; Equidae. The record is from RNAcentral.
AAUUUAUUGCUCUUUGAAGUGAAGGAAAAUGUACAUCAAUGUCUCAUCAAGAGAGUCUUAGAAAGAAAUUAUAGGGUUUGGGCUUAUGUUAGGUGAUUUGGAGGAGAUUUCAAGGAAGUAGGGCUUUGUUCUGGAUUGGACGCUGCCAGGAAGCAUCUCAAGCAGGAGAGAAUUCUAUAAUCGUCCAUCUCCAUCUUGUCUAGAAGGAAGGAAGAACAGAUCACGCCUAAAGCCGUAAGUGGGAAAGCAGCAGCAGGAGGGGGAUAUUUGGUACCUCUGUGCUUUGCGUAGUGACCUUGCAUUUGUCUGUUCAUAGGCAAGAUACAAAGGGAUCUUUGUAUGGUUCUGGGUUAAACUGGGCGCAAGAGAAACUUAGAAGAGAUUUGAAGAGGCGAAUGAAGCGAGAGCUGUCUCCAUGUUCUGACCGUCAGUAUAGCACGUCAGACACUGGAGCAGUUCACACACAACGUCACUGACCUACCAGCUCCCUUGGCGGGGUGAGAUAGCACCCAGGCCCACAGCUCCUCUGGCACCUGCUGGAAAUCCUCUUCCAGCUUCUCUGAGUGUCCUGGACCAGGUGUCUGUGCAGCUACAUGCAAAGGGUGCCAGCUUCUCCUGCAGGUCACUCACACCAUUGAGGUUGUGGACAGCAAGAGACAAACAUGAGUUUCCUUUUGCCCUCAUGUGUUGCAGUUUGUCCUUGCUCUGCCAACUUCACAUCCAGCUUUCCUUCCCUACUGCCAGCCCAGUUGAUUUCAGGUCCAAUACCAGACACAAAGGCAACAGGCUUGUACAGACCUCUCCCCCAGUGCCCACAACUGUAUAUGGUCAUUACAAUCUCUGAUUCUAUAUGACUCUUAGAAGUUCUGAUUCUCUGAAAAAACUCCGACUGAAAUACACUCCAGAUUCCCAGGUGACAGGAGAUCUCUCAUUCUUGGAGUUCUAUCCUACGAUGCAAGGGGCCAUGUUAUGAAGGGAGAUGGAUGACAUUCCUGCAGCACCAGAUAUGGCCAAGGGACAGGCUCAUGUCUGACUCUCUUGUCCUGACCUAGAUUCUUACAUUACUGUGAUUGAGUUCUUGCAGCUCACGAGAGCAGUGCUGGGGUAAGAAGAUUGGGGAGGGGGGGGCGGUACAUGACCAUUUGGCUAUUAACCAAGCGCCCCGAGGUGCCAUUACCAGGAUUUGGGGCCAGACUCAGCUUCUGAGGGGAUCAGAGUCUUGGCUGGGAUGACAUAAAUGUGAACCAAAUCUGAACGGCGAGGCAAGGAUGAAAAAUGACACUAAGCAGUAAAGAGAAUGUCAAGAAAGCAGUGAACAUCAUGGCCCAGGUGAGGGGCCAGGCCAGAGCUAGAGAAUGGAGAAUGUGAGCGUGGGCCCCCGUGUGAGAUGCGCCCACAGAGGCAGGUGCGGAGCACUAUCAUCACUGCUUCACACACUAUCUCGCUGAACUGUCGCAGCUCCCACAAAAGACAGGCUUUAUUAUAUCAACCUAGCAGCUGAUGGAACUGAGGUAGAGAGGGCAGCUGACUCGCCCAAGAUCACUUAGGAAAGAAGUUGAAAGACAGGAUUUGAAUUCAGAUCUCUUUGAUGGGACUUCUGCUACACCUUUCAAGCUCCAAGCUUUCUAGGCUUAAAAAAAGAAAGAAAAACUUUUGAGCGACCUGAUCAUCGUUGUCAAAUCCAGUGCUCCAGCCCCAGUGGGGGUCUCAGACGACAGCGACCUCACGUCAGCUUUAGCUCCCCGGUUCCUGACCCACUGAAACCAGGAGGGAAUGCGCAUGUUUUGUUUUAACCCAGUAAGCGUUGAGUGUAACUCAGAAGUUGAUAACCACUGCCUUGCUCUUAGAUUAAACCACGGGGAUGCGGGGGGUGGCCGAAAGGAGCAGGAUGUGAGUCAUAGAAAGCUCCAAGAAAGCCUGAUGAAAAGAAAAAGUACCAGAAAUUCUCUUCUGGCUCAGGGAAUUGUGUAAAGACACAGAGAUGGCGAGACAGGUUGGGAGACAAAUGUGUCCUGACCUCCUGUCUUGGGGCUAAAGUCUUUGAGGUCAAAGUUCUCUGACAGCCUGAGGAAGAGUAAAGUUCCUGUUUCAGUCUAUAGGGAACGAAUGUCUCCCAGGGUGCCCUGUACCAACCCUGGGCUCUCAGCCCUCUUGAGAUACAGAAAAGAUGGAGAAGUUUCCACAAGACCCCGGGGGUGGAUGGGAGGUCACUGAGAGUCUGGCUGGGUAGCUGCCAGAGAAGGACACCAUUGUGGCAAUGAGGCUGAGUGACCCAAACCAGGGUCAAAGAGAAGUCACCCCCACAUCUCAGGAGCACCAGUGCCAGCCAGAGCUGAGGUGGGGCCACAUUGGCGGGGAGGACCCAGGGAAGCAGAGAGAACACAGCACAAGUUACAGUAGUUACAGACCCCAGCACCCAAAGUCAGUGUCAGCAGAACGCCCACCACACACACCCAAGAACCUGCAGGAACUCAGAGUCCUACUGGGCCCCAGUGCUUGAAGUUGCACAAGCUUCCACGGUACCAUCUUGGAGAGGAGGAAACUGGAGAAAGGAUAAAGGAAUGAGUCCCCCCAAAAAGAGAUAGUUACUGAAAAGAUGGCUCCAAGGAUUGGAUUGGAUUCAAUUCAUCGUUUCCUCCACUAUCCAGUGGGAGCUGGGGGUGGGGCUUGAAAGGCAAAUCACAUAAAUUAUAGAAAACACUGAAGCUACAGUUUCUUGCCAUAUUUCAAUCUAGUAUAAGUAAAUAAGUGAUUCCAAUUCAUAUGCUAUGAAAAUAUGUCAAAAGAUUGAUGGAGAUUCAAAGCAGGGUUUUGUGUUAGAUCUAGAACAAGAGAACCAGAGGGGACCCCAGAAAUCAUCUAACCCCUGGUAUUGUCCUCUGUGCCUUAUCUGAUGGCACCAUGUCCCUCAUCCUCCAGUCUAUGACCCAGCAAACUCCAAGCACUGGAAAGACGGCAUGGCUUUGCCAUAUGCAUUACUUGGGAACCGUAACUUUA